This 253-nucleotide ribosomal RNA is filed under the name uncultured bacterium. RNAcentral describes it as "partial 16S ribosomal RNA". It matches the Rfam family "Bacterial small subunit ribosomal RNA", at positions 524 to 776 of the family's 1533-position model. The record is from RNAcentral.
UACAGAGGGUGCGAGCGUUGUUCGGCAUUAUUGGGCGUAAAGCGCUUGUAGGCGGCUUGUUAAGUCGCGUGUGAAAUCCCCAGGCUUAACCUGGGAAGUGCGCGCGAAACUGGCGAGCUUGAAUGCCGGAGAGGGUCGCGGAAUUCCCGGUGUAGAGGUGAAAUUCGUAGAUAUCGGGAGGAACACCAGUGGCGAAGGCGGCGACCUGGACGGACAUUGACGCUGAGACGCGAAAGCGUGGGGAGCAAACAGG